Molecule: ribosomal RNA, 467 nt
Filed under: uncultured bacterium
Lineage: Bacteria
Description: partial 16S ribosomal RNA
Rfam family: Bacterial small subunit ribosomal RNA
Source: RNAcentral
GACGAACGCUGGCGGCGUGCUUAACACAUGCAAGUCGAACGGAAAGGCCCUGCUUUUGUGGGGUGCUCGAGUGGCGAACGGGUGAGUAACACGUGAGUAACCUGCCCUUGACUUUGGGAUAACUUCAGGAAACUGGGGCUAAUACCGGAUAGGAGCUCCUGCUGCAUGGUGGGGGUUGGAAAGUUUCGGCGGUUGGGGAUGGACUCGCGGCUUAUCAGCUUGUUGGUGGGGUAGUGGCUUACCAAGGCUUUGACGGGUAGCCGGCCUGAGAGGGUGACCGGCCACAGUGGGACUGGGAUACGGCCCAGACUCCUACGGGAGGCAGCAGUGGGGAAUAUUGCACAAUGGGCGGAAGCCUGAUGCAGCAACGCCGCGUGCGGGAUGACGGCCUUCGGGUUGUAAACCGCUUUCGCCUGUGACGAAGCGUGAGUGACGGUAAUGGGUAAAGAAGCACCGGCUAACUACGU